Molecule: long non-coding RNA, 862 nt
Organism: Cyprinus carpio carpio
Lineage: Eukaryota; Metazoa; Chordata; Actinopteri; Cypriniformes; Cyprinidae
Source: Ensembl
AAAAUGCUUAAACGGACAUGCCGAGGGCUAGUUUUAGGGUCCAGUCUAAUGAAAAUAUUUCACUUUUAAAAGUUUCCAGUGGAUAGAUUUGACCUGGGAUCUGAUCCAGAGGAGAAACAGAGGAAGUCAGAGGGGAGUUGGCUUUCAUACAUCUUAGUGAAACAGAAACCACGCGCCAGCUGAUGUGCAGGUAGAUGUGUGCUGGCGGUCGUGCCGGAGUUGCCCUGUCGCAGAUGGCAUUACAGCUGCCUGGGUGGUACAUCUACACAAUAACCCCACUAUUAUAUUGCAAAUCCAGAGGACCAGGACAAACCGGUUGUGGCAAAGCAGACACUUAGAGUCUGGUAUUGGCAUAAUGCCUUGUUCUGAGGCACUUUUGUGAGCCAUUAUAAGAAAGAUCAUGUUAUUCUUAAUUUCCAGACACACCAAAAGUGAUUUACACAACUUUUUUACUACAGGCACAAUCAAUCCUUUUGGGGUUUGAACCUACAACCUUUUGGUUUACCAGUCCAAAUACUAAGCCACAACCCUUGUGUAAGCAAAAUGUUAAACUUGCAACAUAAAGUCGGGUUCAAUUUGCAGCUUAUUCCAGCCAAGAACGGCCACUAAGUUGACCGACAUGUGAAGAAACCAACUUUUUUGUUUUGUUUUUAUGUGUUGUUUAGAGGCUUAUUGUUGUUUAGGGGGUUUAUCUGAAAUACAUUAUACCACAGUAAGAGACUUCAUUGCAAAAACUUAAUCAAAUAUGCCUACCACAAAACAACAUGCAGCCAAUGCUUUCAUAUUGCUCAAGUUCUGAAAAUAUCUUGCAUUCCUGUUAUUGUGUGGGACGACUUUUAACAUCAAUAAAAUCUCUUGGUUG